This 277-nucleotide ribosomal RNA is filed under the name uncultured bacterium. RNAcentral describes it as "partial 16S ribosomal RNA". It matches the Rfam family "Bacterial small subunit ribosomal RNA", at positions 28 to 296 of the family's 1533-position model. The record is from RNAcentral.
AACGAACGUUGGCGGCGUGGAUUAGGCAUGCAAGUCGAACGAAUCCCACGGCCGUAGCAAUACGGCGGUGGGGGAAGUGGCGAAAGGGGCAGUAAGGCGUGGCUAACCUACCCCGGGGACGGGCAUAGCCCUCCUAACGGAGGGGUAAUUCCCGGCGAUCUGGCCGAGGGGCAUCCCCCGGCCAGGAAACGAAUCUCGCCUCGGGAGGGGGUCACGUGCUAUUAGCUCGUUGGCGGGGUAACGGCCCACCAAGGCUUAGAUGGCUAGCGGGUGUGAG